GACGAACGCUGGCGGCGUGCCUAAUACAUGCAAGUCGAACGAACCGCGACUAGGUGCUUGCACUUGGUCAAGGUGAGUGGCGAACGGGUGAGUAACACGUGGGUAACCUACCUCAUAGUGGGGGAUAACAGUCGGAAACGACUGCUAAUACCGCAUAGGACAUAGGAUCACAUGAUCCAGUGAGGAAAGGUGGCGCAAGCUAUCGCUAAGAGAUGGACCCGCGGUGCAUUAGCUAGUUGGUAGGGUAAAGGCCUACCAAGGCGAUGAUGCAUAGCCGACCUGAGAGGGUGAUCGGCCACAUUGGGACUGAGACACGGCCCAAACUCCUACGGGAGGCAGCAGUAGGGAAUCUUCCGCAAUGGACGCAAGUCUGACGGAGCAACGCCGCGUGAGUGAAGAAGGUCCUCGGAUCGUAAAGCUCUGUUGUUAGAGAAGAACAGCGCAUAGAGUAACUGUUAUGCGUGUGACGGUAUCUAACCAGAAAGCCACGGCUAACUACGUG
RNAcentral lists this ribosomal RNA (502 nucleotides) under uncultured bacterium. RNAcentral's name for it is "partial 16S ribosomal RNA". It matches the Rfam family "Bacterial small subunit ribosomal RNA", at positions 28 to 507 of the family's 1533-position model. The record is from RNAcentral.